ACGAACGCUGGCGGCGUGCUUAACACAUGCAAGUCGAACGGAAAGGCCCUGCUUUUGUGGGGUGCUCGAGUGGCGAACGGGUGAGUAACACGUGAGUAACCUGCCCUUGACUUUGGGAUAACUUCAGGAAACUGGGGCUAAUACCGGAUAGGAGCUCCUGCUGCAUGGUGGGGGUUGGAAAGUUUCGGCGGUUGGGGAUGGACUCGCGGCUUAUCAGCUUGUUGGUGGGGUAGUGGCUUACCAAGGCUUUGACGGGUAGCCGGCCUGAGAGGGUGACCGGCCACAUUGGGACUGAGAUACGGCCCAGACUCCUACGGGAGGCAGCAGUGGGGAAUAUGGCACAAUGGGCGGAAGCCUGAUGCAGCAACGCCGCGUGCGGGAUGACGGCAUUCGGGUUGUAAACCGCUUUCGCCUGUGACGAAGCGUGAGUGACGGUAAUGGGUAAAGAAGCACCGGCUAACUACGU
RNAcentral lists this ribosomal RNA (466 nucleotides) under uncultured bacterium. Its description in RNAcentral is "partial 16S ribosomal RNA". It matches the Rfam family "Bacterial small subunit ribosomal RNA", at positions 29 to 506 of the family's 1533-position model. The record is from RNAcentral.